GACGAACGCUGGCGGCGUGCCUAAUACAUGCAAGUAGAACGCUGAAGGAGGAGCUUGCUUCUCCGGAUGAGUUGCGAACGGGUGAGUAACGCGUAGGUAACCUGCCUGGUAGCGGGGGAUAACUAUUGGAAGCGAUAGCUAAUACCGCAUAAGAGUAGAUGUUGCAUGACAUUUGCUUAAAAGGUGCAAUUGCAUCACUACCAGAUGGACCUGCGUUGUAUUAGCUAGUUGGUGAGGUAACGGCUCACCAAGGCGACGAUACAUAGCCGACCUGAGAGGGUGAUCGGCCACACUGGGACUGAGACACGGCCCAGACUCCUACGGGAGGCAGCAGUAGGGAAUCUUCGGCAAUGGACGGAAGUCUGACCGAGCAACGCCGCGUGAGUGAAGAAGGUUUUCGGAUCGUAAAGCUCUGUUGUAAGAGAAGAACGAGUGUGAGAGUGGAAAGUUCACACUGUGACGGUAUCUUACCAGAAAGGGACGGCUAACUACGUG
Molecule: ribosomal RNA, 495 nt
Filed under: uncultured bacterium
Lineage: Bacteria
Description: partial 16S ribosomal RNA
Rfam family: Bacterial small subunit ribosomal RNA
Source: RNAcentral